AUUAGAAGUGAUGAAUGACCAUUACCGCCCCAGUCUGAAGAUUCAUGACUGAUUGGUAUCCCCUCUGAUCAAGA
Molecule: small nucleolar RNA, 74 nt
Organism: Myripristis murdjan (pinecone soldierfish)
Lineage: Eukaryota; Metazoa; Chordata; Actinopteri; Holocentriformes; Holocentridae
Source: Ensembl